Molecule: ribosomal RNA, 494 nt
Filed under: uncultured bacterium
Lineage: Bacteria
Description: partial 16S ribosomal RNA
Rfam family: Bacterial small subunit ribosomal RNA
Source: RNAcentral
GACGAACGCUGGCGGCGUGCCUAAUACAUGCAAGUCGAACGGUUUAGUUCCAAGAGGCUCGCCUUUUGGAACUAGACAGUGGCGGACGGGUGAGUAACACGUAGGCAACCUACCUGUCAAACCGGGAUAACCUCGGGAAACCGAAGCUAAACCCGGAUAAGCUCCUUUUUCGCAUGAAGGGGGAGUGAAAAGGUGCGACCUGAUGACAGAUGGGCCUGCGGCGCAUUAGCUAGUAGGUAGGGUAACGGCCUACCUAGGCGAUGAUGCGUAGCCGACCUGAGAGGGCGUACGGCCACACUGGGAAUGAGAUACGGCCCAGAAUCCUACGGGAGGCAGCAGUAGGGAAUCUUCGGCAAUGGGCGAAAGCCUGACCGAGCAACGCCGCGUGAGUGAGGAAGGCCUUCGGGUUGUAAAACUCUGUUGUUUGGGAAGAAGGGAAAGGGUAGGACCCUUAGGUGACGGUACCAAACGAGAAAGCCCCGGCUAACUACGUG